The sequence is a regulatory RNA element, 131 nucleotides long. It matches the Rfam family "ALIL pseudoknot". The record is from Rfam.
GGCGAAUUUCUUCGGGGCGGAGCUCGACCGCCACCACAAGAAAUAGUCGCCUUAUCGACGCCCACCGGGCCGAGUUCGGGGUCGAGCCCAUCUGCACGGUCCUGCGCAGCGCAGGGGUGUCGAUGGCCCCG